GGUUUAAUUCGAAGCAACGCGCAGAACCUUACCAGCCCUUGACAUCCCGGUCGCGGUUUCCAGAGAUGGAUUCCUUCAGUUCGGCUGGACCGGUGACAGGUGCUGCAUGGCUGUCGUCAGCUCGUGUCGUGAGAUGUUGGGUUAAGUCCCGCAACGAGCGCAACCCUCGCCCUUAGUUGCCAGCAUUCAGUUGGGCACUCUAAGGGGACUGCCGGUGAUAAGCCGAGA
This 228-nucleotide ribosomal RNA is filed under the name uncultured bacterium. RNAcentral's name for it is "partial 16S ribosomal RNA". It matches the Rfam family "Bacterial small subunit ribosomal RNA", at positions 943 to 1167 of the family's 1533-position model. The record is from RNAcentral.